GGGACCUUUCAUUUCUCAUUGAUCACCUUCUUUCCUCCAUGCUCACCUUCUUUCCUCCCAGCUCACCUGCGUUCCUCCCUGUUCAAAUCCCUCUCCGGCCCGCUCACCCCGGGCUCUCUCAGUGUCAGUAAGGCUUGUUAGAUCAUUCUCACCCUUCUUGACAAUCACCAAGUUGAUAACAGACAGGCCUUGGUUGACAAUGCAACCACGGACGGACUUUCUCCUGCGCUCACCAUUACGCCUGCCAAAACCACGGAGGCAAGGUGUGCCCCUGUGAAGCAGAAGGCGGACACGCCCGGAAGUAAGCACUCCUUGCUUCAUCGGGAAACCCUGCUUAUCACAGCCACCCAUGAUCUUGAAGAUAUAACCCUUGAAUUCCUAACCCGGAAGAUCACCAACUACCUCAAGGAAACAAGCUGAGCAAGAAGAAAAGAAGGUGACCAAGGAGGAAAGAAGGUGAGCAAGGAGGAAAGAGAGGGAGCAAGGAGGAAAGAAGGUGAGCCAGGAGGAAAGAAGGGGAGCCAGGGGGAAAGAAAGUUACCCAAGAGGAAAAAAGGGCAGCAAGGAGGAACAGAGGUUAACAAGGGGGAAAGAAGGGUAGCAAGGAGGAAAGAAGGGUACCGAAAGGAGAGAAUGUCGUCUCGAGGAGUAAAGGGGGUAGAACUACUAGGAAAAAGGGUGCAAAGGAGGGAAGGAAGGUUCCCCUCGGCGGAAAAAGGGCGGCGAAGGAAGUUGGAUAUUCUAGAAUGGCUAAAAAAAAUCAACGUCGUGCCUCUGCUCGCUCCGAAGGAAGCGAUCGAUUGCUUCUUUCCGUCAGCCGCACCAUCCUCCACGAAUGCAAGGGGUUGGGGACUGAAUAACAGGGAGCGCUUUAUUUGCCCAUUGGGUGGGCGGGGCCGGGGGGAAGGUUCACGUUCCCGCAAUUCCAUUUGACCUGAAUGUAGGGGGAUUGAAAAUUCAAGGGGUGGGGGUAUUUGUUUUUCUGGUCGGUGUUAGGCUAGGACGUUGGCGCAUUUCUUACUUUUUGGCCCCUUAUCCCCUUUUUGCCUGUUUGGGGGGUGGGGGGAGGAGGCCGGGAGAGGUUGGCCCUUUCCCACCCCUUCCCCCAGUCUUUCCCUUACUGGUUUAUUUUAGGGGUUUUUCAUUGUUUUAAAAAAGAGGAAAAGAAAAAGGGCGCGGUUUGUGGGGGGGUUUCUGGGUGGUUUAUUAAAGGGGCAAGUGCUGUGUGGCGCGGGGGGGGGUGUGGGAUACCGCAGCGGGGGGAGAGAGUGCGCCGGGGGGGGGGCGGGGGGCAAAAUAAAUAAUUUUUCUCCAUCCGAGAGAAAAAAAAUUUUUAUCCCCGCGGGGGGAGAAGGGUGAUAUUUGUUUUU
This 1370-nucleotide long non-coding RNA is filed under the name Hordeum vulgare subsp. vulgare (domesticated barley). RNAcentral describes it as "72HASATROOT". The record is from RNAcentral. Lineage: Eukaryota; Viridiplantae; Streptophyta; Magnoliopsida; Poales; Poaceae.